Molecule: long non-coding RNA, 941 nt
Filed under: Sus scrofa (pig)
Lineage: Eukaryota; Metazoa; Chordata; Mammalia; Artiodactyla; Suidae
Description: lncRNA (ENSSSCG00035025171.1)
Source: RNAcentral
CGGGUCCUACCUGGAGCGACACCGCGCGGCAGGGCGCCAGGCUCCGCGGCGUGGGCCGCCGCCGCGCCCGCCCCAGAGGUCGUUUCCCCUGCAGUUUCCAACAUGGCAGGCAGGCAGGUUUUAUAGACAUGGACAAGAAGUCUGCACACAGAAGUUCUGAGGAUGCCAGGACCGGCAAAAGUGGAGGUAAACACAAACAAAAGAAAAGAGAAAAGCAAAACCAAGAACACCACCGAUCCCGACAUAGGUCAACAUCUCAUUCUUCAGAUGACUGUGUGUUUCCUUCUUCUGUAUCAUCUUCAGGAAGCCACACGGAUUCAAGUCUAGAAGGUGCUGCCAAGGGAAGAAUUAAGAGAAAGAGAGGAAAGAAAAGGAGUAAACGGAGAAAAGAAAGAAAGGUAACUGGGGAUAAUUUAAUACAGGAAGAAAAUUUAGCUAUCCGAGUAUUCCGCGCUUUCUUGCUAAUAAAGGAAAACAGCCUACACGGGACUUUGCAGAGCUGGAAGGAACGAGUGGUGAACAUGCCGUUAACAUGGAGCUAAUCGAAUAGUAUCCUUUUUCUUUUCAAAUACUGUAAUCGAAGUUUCACCUUCUCAGGUGUCAGUUACCUGAAGCACACUGUGGUCCGAACCUACUAAAUGGAAGAAUUCCAAAGAUAGACCAGUCGUAAGUUUUCACUUUUGUCCAUUCUGAGUAGUGUGAUAAAACCUCACGCCAUCCUACUCCGUCCCACUCUGGAUGGGAAUCAUCUUUGUCCAGCAUAUCCACGCUAUAUAUGCUACCCACCCCGGGUCACCUAGUAGCCAUCUCCGUUAUUGGAUCAUCAGCUGUCACAGGACUGUAGUUCUUGUGGUCAGGUACCCUUAUUUUACUUAAAAUGGCUCCAAAGCCAAAGAGUAGUGAUGCUGGCAAUUUGGAUAUUCUCUUACUGUGGCUGAUUU